GGAUUGUGGCUCAGUUGGCAGAGUACUUGCCUGGCACAUGUGAGGCACUGGGUUUGAUCCCCGGCACCA
This 69-nucleotide transfer RNA is filed under the name Marmota monax (woodchuck). RNAcentral describes it as "tRNA.Ala". Lineage: Eukaryota; Metazoa; Chordata; Mammalia; Rodentia; Sciuridae. The record is from RNAcentral.